Molecule: long non-coding RNA, 1612 nt
Organism: Girardinichthys multiradiatus
Lineage: Eukaryota; Metazoa; Chordata; Actinopteri; Cyprinodontiformes; Goodeidae
Exons: 3
Source: RefSeq, a predicted model, not a curated record
AUUUUGAAAGUUCCAAAAAAGUCCAUACCGGAGUUUUCAUGUUGUAUCCAUGGCUGUGGGUCCCAACACCAAAUAAGUAUCUUCCUAAAGGUAAACAGCGCAGGUUGAUAACCAGAGAACAAUGUUUCUAAUAUGGGACUAAAGUUAAUAAUGAUAAUAAUAAAAAUGAAAGAUUAGAUGGUGAGCAAGAAGGGAACUGUAAUGUAACAACCUCAUUUUUAUACCGUAGCAGAAAAUGUGCAAAUAUUUUUUGUAAAAAAAAAAAAAAAAAGUAAAAUUAUGCAAUUAGGAAGUAGAUGCAGACGCAUCUUAAUUUAAUGAGAAAUUUCUCAAACCAGAUUAAAUCAUUCUGAAGGUACAUCACAGAGAAUUGGAAUAUGCAUUCUGAAGAGUGAAAAUAACAACCUCUAAUCAGGUAUUAAACAUGCUUUGCAUUAAGCCCACAUUUCUGUAAUAAAACUAGUUUUUUUAUUGGUCUGAUGUAAUAUUCUCAUUUUUAAAUGUUGUUUUUCAUUAGCGGUGAACAGAAAAUCAUAAUCAACAGAAAUAAAGUCUUGAAAAGAAGUGCUUGCAUGUAACCAAUCUAUAUAAUGUGUUUUACUUAUUGAAUUGAGUUACUGAAUGGCUUUGAAGCAUAGUCUACACAUUUUCAGUAGCAUUCGGGUCAAAGGUUUGAGAAAGCCAUUUUAGAAGCUUAACAUUAGCCUGCUUUAUUCCUUCAAAAACUAUUUUGGAUAGUUGUUUGGAAUCAUUGUCCUGUUGGAAUGUCCUACUGUAUCCACGUUCUAGCUGUUUACAUGUCGAUUUGAUUAGAACUUCAAGAAUUUAGAGGUAGCCCUCAUUAAUUAUAUCUUUCACUUUGUGCCAUGCACUACUCAAAGCAAAACAGGCCCACAGCAUGAUACUGACACCAAUAUGCUUGGCACUUUGGACAGUAAUCUUAGGUUUGAAUUUCUCACCUUGUCUCCUCUAAACAUUCUUCUUCUCACUGUGCCCAUACAGCUCCAUCUUUGACUCGUCUCACCACAAACCUUUCUCCAGAAGACAUUUGGUUCAUCCAUUCUACACAGGUGUAAAACAUCCUUCACUGUGGACUCUGGUGGUGUUUCAGCAGUUUACAGUUCAUGCCAAAAGAAGACGGCCUGUUCUGUAAUGUCACAUUUAUGUCCACAAGGAAUCAGUUCAUACGUGAUGGUUGAGAUGAUGCUUUCUGUGCCCAGGAUGAUUUUCUGGUUCAUAACUCUAAGCACUACAAUGAAAUAAAGUUCUACUGAGCGUAAAAAAAACUUGUACAAGCUGUAUAUAAAGAUGUAUAAACAAGCUCUAAGCUGUAUAACCUACUGACAUCACACGUUUGAGUCACUGGUUAAUGCUUGAGAGCUUAGGAACAGUCCUCUUGCUUAUUGUGAGCUAACUGUCCUAACAUGACUAACAAUAUUCACAACUCCGCUUGGUCACAACCAGGUUGUUGUGAUGAAACUGAAGCCUUCAUCUCCUGGUAUAACCCUACACUAACCUCCAUAAACAAACGCCUCUACAGCCCAUAUAAGGUCAAGGAUUUUGCUUUGUGACUUGGACUUAUGUUUCCAUGUGGGCUGACUGAGGAAUAUUG